ACGCACGCUGGCGGCGUGCUUCACACAUGCAAGUCGAACGGAAAGGCCCUGCUUUUGUGGGGUGCUCGGGUGGCGAACGGGUGAGUAACACGUGAGUAACCUGCCCUUGACUUUGGGAUAACUUCAGGAAACUGGAGCUAAUACCGGAUAGGAGCUCCUGCUGCAUGGUGGGGGUUGGAAAGUUUCGGCGGUUGGGGAUGGACUCGCGGCUUAUCAGCUUGUUGGUGGGGUAGUGGCUUACCAAGGCUUUGACGGGUAGCCGGCCUGAGAGGGUGACCGGCCACAUUGGGACUGAGAUACGGCCCAGACUCCUACGGGAGGCAGCAGUGGGGAAUAUUGCACAAUGGGCGGAAGCCUGAUGCAGCAACGCCGCGUGCGGGAUGACGGCCUUCGGGUUGUAAACCGCUUUCGCCUGUGACGAAGCGUGAGUGACGGUAAUGGGUAAAGAAGCACCGGCUAACUACGUG
Molecule: ribosomal RNA, 467 nt
Filed under: uncultured bacterium
Lineage: Bacteria
Description: partial 16S ribosomal RNA
Rfam family: Bacterial small subunit ribosomal RNA
Source: RNAcentral